Arachis stenosperma is the source of this 4152-nucleotide RNA transcript. It is a transcript of the gene named pentatricopeptide repeat-containing protein At1g62930, chloroplastic-like, with no coding region annotated. Lineage: Eukaryota; Viridiplantae; Streptophyta; Magnoliopsida; Fabales; Fabaceae. The record is from RefSeq and is a predicted model, not a curated record. The transcript is spliced from 3 exons.
UUUGUUUCCAUGCGGUGAUUGUUUCCACCAUUCAAUUCGCUCUCUUUUCUUCCAACCCCUUCUUCUCAUUUGAUCGGAUUUUAUACAAACAUGUUGCGUGCAGCAUCAUUUUCAUCACUCUCAUUCUCCAGGUUCAGCUUCUCUCUUCAUAUCCCCUCUUUUCUUGUGCCCUAUGUUUUCCCUUUUCGCUUUCCUUCCUGUUCAUGUUCAAUGUCAAGCCUUCACUCUCAUUCUCAGCUCACAUCCCCUCGCCAUGUUGAUGAAGCUGUUGAUUCCUUCACUCGCAUGCUCUCUAUGCGUCGCACUCCAUCCAUCGUCCAAUUUAACCAGAUUUUGGGGUCUCUUGCCAAGACGCACCAUUUCCCCACCGCCAUUUCCCUUUUUCAGCAAUUGCAAACCAGGGGAAUUGCUCCCAGCAUAGUUACUUUGAGCAUCGUAAUUAAUUGUUGUUGCGGCAUGGGUCAUAUGGCGCUUGCUUUCUCUGUAUUGACCAAGAUUUUCAGGAUGGGUUUUCAGCCUGAUAUCAUAACGUUGAAUACACUCAUUAAAGGUCUCUGUCUCUCUGGUAAGGUUGAAAAAGCACUGCAUUUUCAUGAUAGAUUGUUGGCUCAUGGAUUUCACUUCGACCAAGUCACUUAUGCAACUUUGAUUAAUGGGCUUUGUAAGACCGGACACACAGCAGCUGCUAUUCAAGUGUUGAGAAAGAUUCCACGGUAUGGGAUUGCUCCUGAUGCGUCAUGUACAGCGCAAUUAUUGAUAGCUUGUGCAAGGUUACGCUUGUAAGUGAUGCUUUUCAUUUAUACUCUGAAAUGCUUGCUAAGGGAAUCUCUCCCGAUGUUAUCACGUACAACACUCUAACUUAUGGAUUGUGCCUUGCGGGCCAACUUAAGGAAACCAUUGAUUUACUAAAUCAUAUGAUGCUGAAAAACAUCAGUCCAGAUGUUCGUACCUAUAACACUUUGAUUGAUGGACUAUGUAAGGAGGGAAAUAUCAAAGAUGCUAAGAGUGUGUUGGCUGUGAUGACAAAAGAUGCUGUGGAGCCAACUGUGGUUACUUAUAAUUGUUUAAUGGAUGGGUAUUGCUUGGUUAACGAAUUAAACAAGGCAAAAUGUAUAUUCGACACAAUGGCCCAUAUAGGAAUGACUCCUAAUAUCCAAAGUUACAAUAUUAUUAUUAAUGGCUUGUGCAAAAGUAAAUUGAUGGAUGAUGCCUUGAAUAUCUUUGAAGAGAUGCGUCGCAAGAACUUGGUUCCGGACACGGUAACUUACAAUACUCUAAUUGAUGGCUUGAGAAAAUCAAGGAGAAUCUCUUGUGCUUCAAAGCUUCUUGUUGAGAUGCAUAGUAAAGGUCAACCUGCUGAUAUAAUCACUUACACUUCCUUGUUGGAUGGGAUGUUCAAUAUCAAACAAGUUGACGAGGCACUUAUGUUAUUUAAUCAAAUGAAAAAGAGUGGCAUUGAUCCGAAUAUAUUCACGUAUAAUAUACUUAUUCAUGGCCUAUGCAAAAAUGGAAGACUUAUAGAAGCAAAAGAGAUUUUUCAAGAUCUUUCCAUUAAAAACUAUCAUCCAAAUGUGAGGACAUACACUAUUAUGAUCAAUGGGCUUUGCAAAGAGGGCUUAUUUGAAGAAGCAUUGGCCCUGAUGUCAAAAAUGGAAGACAAUGGUUGCUUACCAAAUGCUGUGACUUUUGAAAUUGUUAUUCGUGCUUUGUUUGAAAAAGGUGAGAAUGACAUGGCGGAGAAACUUCUUCAGGAAAUUAUUGCUAGAGGCUUAUUGAAUGGAUGAAUGAAGGUAAGAUACAUCAACUCAAAUUGAAAUCACCUCUCUAUUGUUGCAGAAUAUUUAUCAUAGUUCUGUAAAUUCUGUAUCUGUUGGGUCAGAUAACUUUGGCAAUGCCAUAACAUCAAUACCACUGAUGUCUUAACUAUCUCAUUUAUAUUCAAUUAAUUUUUAACUUUCAAUUUUUGUAACUGCUAUCAUCCUUUUUACUUCCACUAUGCUUUAUUGAUUCUUUAGAGGAUAUUCCUAGUUGUAGUUUACAGGUUUAGUGUUUAAGAUCUCUUUAUAGUAAUUAAUAGUUCUUUACUUUUAUCCUAUUUGAUCAUAUAUCUUAACUGUUAUCAUGCUACAAACUAAGAAAAACAAAAAAGAGUGUUAUAAACAUUUGCAAGUCCAUUGCAUUCUGUAUAAGGAAAAUUACAUUAUUAUGAAAAAUGUGGUUCUAAAAUAUGAGUGCGUUAAUAAUUCGGUUAUGGUUUCCCAACUUCAAAUUUUAUUGUUAUUUUGCUUGUUGAUCAAUGACUUCUCUAUGGAGAUUGGCAAUAUUUGAUUUACACUGGAUUUUGACCUGCUUAAAUGAGUGUGGUUUGGCCACCAAAGUAUUUCAAAGCAGAUAUUUUUAUUUCUCUUGCCUUGAUUUUAGCUUGUAGUUUUGUACGUCUAAACUUGUGUCACAAGAACUUAGUUCCUAAUACGGUAACUUACAACACUCUUAUUGAUGGCUUGGGCAAAUCAAAGUGAUUCCCUCGCGCUUUGGAGCUUUUUGUUGAGAUGCAUGAUAAAGGUCAACCUUCUUCUAUAUUCAUUUACAAUUUCUUGAUAGAUGCCUUGUGCAAAAACCAACAACUUGACAAGGCACUUGUGUUAUUCAGUAAAAUGGAAGAGGUUGCCAUUAACCAAAUAUACACUCAUACAACAUGCUUAUUGAUGACCUAUGCAAAAGUGGAAAACUUAAACAUGCUCAGGAGAUUUUUCAGGAUCUUCCUGUUAGAGGCUAAACGUCCAGCCAGACAUACAAUAUUGUGAUCAAUAGUCUUUCUAGAGAGGGUCUGUUUGAAGAUGCAUUGGCCCUGUUGUCAAAAAUGGAACAUGAUGGUUGCAUUCCUGAUGCUGUGACUUUUUAAACCAUUAUUUGAGCUUUGUUUGAAAAAGAUGAGAAUGUUACGGCAGGAAAACUCCUUCGUGAAAUAAUUGCUAGAGGCUUAUUGAAUAGAUAAAAGAAGAUGACUUUGGCAAUGCCAUGACCUCACUAUCACUAAGGUGGAGUAUCUAACAAAUUCCCAUGACUGUUGACAUUUAUCAUUAGCAAAUAGCAACCGUAAACUGUUGUUUAUUUGACCGAAUCCUCCAAGAACUGUAGUAAAACGAAUUUAAGUGGGGAUUAAGGAUGUAUUCAUAAGCUAUACGGUUUUCUAUUCCACCUUAAAAAUAAAUCCAACUUCUAAAAUGUGUGUCGCCUCUUUUGAUUUUCCUUUUUAUCUUUAUUUCCUUUUCAGAUUACAGCCUAAGCAAAAUCGAUUUAGGUUAUCCAUCUAAAGUCUAAACUUCCCAAUUUUAUCUCGUUAUCUAUUAGAAGAAGUUCCCCACAUCAAGAUGCUGUCUUUUUUAUGCUAAAGCAUGUGAUGACACUUGAUGUUAAAACUCAAGAUAUUGCGUGUGAAGAAAAGAUAGAGGACAUGGAGAAGAAGAAGAAAAUGAAAGAGGCCAUGAUUCUUGUUACUAUUGUAUUUUUGUGGCAAUAAUUAAUGAUAGGAGUCGGAGCUGCAAUUACUUUUGAUGGCUGCCAAAUAGCCAAAGAGAGUUUUAGUUUGGAUUUAUUUUGUUGAAUGCUUCUGUUGACUCAGUUGAUUCUUAUAGUGGAUUUUGGAAUGCUGGUUUUUUAUUACUAAAUUUUCAAGAUAAAUAUUCCUCUAUAUUAGUUAAGGAUUCGACUAAUGUGCUCCCCUUUAUCUUUUGAUGAUGUUUGCAGGUUUUGGGAGAAAGAAAGAGGCUAAAUUUUUGUGGCAAUGUGCAAUAUAUUCCACUAUUUGGAGCAUUUGGCUAGAACAGUCUUCGUACAUUUCAUGACAGAUUCACAGGAAAAGUUGUUUGUUUUAAAAUAUGAUUUUUUCAGAUGACUUUCCCUCAGACAUGAUGAGAAGAGAUUGGAAGUUGCCGUUCAUUGAAGCUUCCGAACUUGUUUGUAUUUCCAAUGGUUUGGAGAAACUUUUUCCUCCACCCAUUUGUACUUUUCUCUCAAUACAUUAAUGAUAUUCUUUCUUUUGUUAUCAAGAAAAAAAUAUAUAAAAGAUAGCUAGAAUGAUGCUAUUGAGAACUCCGAAAUAAAUGUUUGUAACAUUUAUCUGUGGAUUUUAUCUAUCUAUGAAAAAAUAGA